CCCUUAGAUGUUCUGGGCCGCACGCGCGCUACACUGAUGCAUUCAACGAGUCUAAAACCUGCUCUGAUAGGGGUGGGUAAUCUUUUGAAUGUGCAUCGUGAUUAGGAUAGAUGAUUGCAAUUUUUCAUCUUCAACGAGGAAUGCCUAGUAAACGCAAGUCAUCAGCUUGCAUUGAUUACGUCCCUGCCCUUUGUACACACCGCCCGUCGCUCCUACCGAUUGAAUGAUCCGAUGAAUAUCAUGGAUUGAGGAUGCAAGCAGGUUCGCCUGUCUUCAACUUCGAGAAGUGAAGUAAAUCUUAUCAUUUAGAGGAAGGAGAAGUCGUAACA
Molecule: ribosomal RNA, 329 nt
Filed under: uncultured eukaryote
Lineage: Eukaryota
Description: partial 18S ribosomal RNA
Rfam family: Eukaryotic small subunit ribosomal RNA
Source: RNAcentral